GUGCUUACUUUGCAGCACACAUACUAAAAUUGUAAUGAUACAGAGAGGAUUAGCAGAGCCCUUGUGCAAAGAUUACACAAACUCAUCAAACAUCCUGUAUUA
Molecule: small nuclear RNA, 102 nt
Filed under: Neotoma lepida (desert woodrat)
Lineage: Eukaryota; Metazoa; Chordata; Mammalia; Rodentia; Cricetidae
Source: RNAcentral